This is a long non-coding RNA of Cucumis sativus (cucumber), 1164 nucleotides long. RefSeq lists it as uncharacterized. Lineage: Eukaryota; Viridiplantae; Streptophyta; Magnoliopsida; Cucurbitales; Cucurbitaceae. The record is from RefSeq and is a predicted model, not a curated record. The transcript is spliced from 2 exons.
AUUAAUAUUAGUGUUGAUUACACCCUAUUGAUGUUUUCAAUGGACCCAUUGCCUCUCUAACCGAUGUCUGUUAGAAUCUUAGAAUAUUUAUGGAAAGAUUAAGGAAAUAUUUUUAUUCUAUUUAUUCUCCCUUGUAACUAUUGUAUUUUUCAUCACAAAAUAAUAAGAAAAAUAUUGUGGUUUUUCUCCCGUUACUCGGGUUUCCACGUAAAGUUGUGUGCUUGUUUGUCUCCCUUUCAAUAUGGUGUCAGAGCAGAACAUUGAACAAAUCCUAAACAACAAAACUAGUGAUGAAAAUCACACAGAGGAGACAACCACCAGUUUUAGUGUCGUCAUCGCCACUGCUGUUGAUGCUCAGAUUAAUGCUGCCAUGGACGAAUGGUUCCGUCACCUUCAGAAAAUGUUGGGAACAAAAUAUAGCAGAUCUUAUCGUCGUUCGCGCUGGCAAAAACCGCCUACGUACCACCCUUGUGCAGCUGCUAGAAGUUCACGCGUCGCCGUUGGAGCUACACGCGCCGGCCCACUCUGUUUAGACGUCGUUGGCCAACCUAAUCGUGCCACCCUCGUCUCCAUCCGCUGCUUGUAGUGUUUCCCACGUGUUGAUUCGUGUUUUGCCACCUACUUUCAGUCGGCGAUACCGCUUCUGUAGUCAAAUGUGUAUGCUCUGCCACCCAAUGACCUUAGCUAUUAUCUUGAUGAUAAGAAUCUUCAAAUUCACUCAACAUUUGAGGUUGGUGAAUUUUCAACACAUUCCAACUCUAUCGUGCAAGCUUCUUCAUUGGGAAUAACUCAGCAACAACGGGAAGGACUUCAACAACAGAUUGCAGAAAUGGAGGCUAUCCUAGGGCCGACAUCCAACACUCCUGUAUCAAUGUAUUAUGGAAAUCCGGUAACCUUGUUCCCUACUUUAUCUUCAUCCUAUCUGAGUGAGAAUGCUAGUCCAACCACAUUUGGAGCUAUUGUUCAAUCAGAAUUUGUGCUCGGGGAGGAUGAUUGGCACUGCUCGACACAAUAGGGAUCUUUACUUGCUUGAUGAUGAUGCCCCCUCUAGUAGUAUUUCUAAGACCAGUCUUUUAUCUUCCUACUAUGCCACUUGUCGUGGCAUUUCCGUUUAGGCUAUUCCAACUUUAAAUAUAUGAAAUAACUAUUUCCUCGUCUUUUUUC